Arachis ipaensis is the source of this 1574-nucleotide long non-coding RNA. RefSeq lists it as uncharacterized. The record is from RefSeq and is a predicted model, not a curated record. NCBI's taxonomy places the organism in Eukaryota, Viridiplantae, Streptophyta, Magnoliopsida, Fabales, Fabaceae.
UUUACCGGAUUAAAGUAUUUAAUUUAAAAUUCUCAGGAGUAAUUACUCUAUAUAUUAUUUUUCAUAUUCUGCUUUACAAUUAUAAGUUCAUAACCGGGAUCUAAAUUAGCUCGGUUUCUUUUAACCAUAUUUUAUGAUUCAACUGUAUCGGAGUAUAAGAUUUUUUUGUAGGUACUCACUGUAGAUGAAUGACAGAAACAUCUCAGCCAGACAGCACUUAUCUCUCAUCUGACAACCAGCAACAACAUUAAAAAAAAAAAAAAAUUUUUUAUUAAAGGCUUUUCUUAAUUCUUUAGAUAUGUGUACGUUAAGUCAAAUGGGAAGUAAUUAGUUGCAAGAAAAACUUUAAAAAACAUUAUUAUUUUGAGGUUUAAUUUAUCUUUGAGGCCCUUAUGUAAUAUUUUUGUGUCUUCCAAAAUAUAUUUGACCAGGGAGGAUUGCAUAUUUGAUAAUAAUUUUGAAUGUAUACUUUUGUUGCUUAAUAGAUAUGAUCAAUAUAAAGCUUAUAUGACUUUAUUAUAAUUCUUGCAAAUAUAUAUGAUUAGAGUGAAUGAGAAAUUUUAAGCUUCAAUGAAAGCAAUUAUUGAAAUUUCUUAAGUACUAUUGAAUAAUUUGUAGAAAUUUUUUUAUUAAAGAUAAAAAAUAAAAAUUUAGUACGAGUUCACAUGCAUAAGUAAUUACGAUGGCUGAAUAUAAGGAUUUUUUUUUUAUAAUAAAUUAUGAAAAAUAUUUAUUUUCACCAAACUCGCUUUUGAGUUUUAUUUACCGAAAUGCAUAUUUUUUUGGUAAUUAAGGCAAGUUCGUUGCACUCUCGACGAACUCUAGAUAAAUUAUAGAGUUCGCCGCAUUCCCCGGCAAACUUUGAUUUAUACAGAGUUCGCUGCACACCCUGGCGAACUCUAGGCAAAGUUGCCACCAUAAAUGCCAGUUAGAGAAUGAAGCUGAGCAUCUGACUUUGUUCUCCAUAAUCAUUUUGGUUGUUGAUCAUUUCUUUUUUUUUUUUUUUACAAUGGCAAGAAAUCUACUGUUAUCCAUUCAUUACGAUGGAGAAAUGGUGUAUGAUGAAGAAGGUUCUAUCGUUUUUAGAUUGAACCAACCGAUAUUUACCUAUUUGACAGUGGAAAUCAACAGCUUAGAGUUGUUACAGAAUCUGAUAUUAUUUUCCGUGGGGAUGCAAGAGACAAAGAAGGUGAAGAAAAUUUACUAUAGAUAUCCAACCGAAAUAGGUGGUAGUUUAAUUUAUAAAAGGUAUUGUCUGCAUGACGACGAGGAUGUAUGUCUUAAUGUCUUAUACGGUCUUGGCACAACCGCUGGACAAAUGUUCAUCUGUUAGAGUUAUCUGUGUUCCUCGUCAAUUUGGGUGGCCGAGGAUCGUCUGUGGAUACUGUCGACGAUAGUCCGUUGAGUGGGCCUGUUAGACGAAAUAUCAUACGGACGAUGGUGGAUCUGAAUAUGGCUCCUGAAGGUGUACAAUCAACCUGUUUCCAAUACACAAGUUGGUGUUAUUAUUCAAUUUUCAUAUGCAAAACACAUAAUAUAAAGUAAACUGGCUACACUUAAAUAUUUAUGACUUA